AUUGAACGCUGGCGGCAUGCCUUACACAUGCAAGUCGAACGGUAACGGGCCUUCGUGUGCCGUCGAGUGGCGACCGGGUGAGUAAUACAUCGGAACGUGCCCGAUCGUGGGGGGUAACGAGGCGAAAGCUUUGCUAAUACCGCAUACCAUCUACGGUUGAAAGCAGCGGACCUCAAUGCCUUGCGCCGACUUAGCGGCCGAUGGCAGAUUGAGUAGCUGGUGGGAUAAAAGCUUACCAAGCCGACGAUCUGUAGCUGGUCUGAGAGGAUGAUCAGCCACACUGGGAAUGGGAAAAGGCCCCGACUCCUAAGGGAGGGAGGAGGGGGGAAAUUUGGACAAAGGGCGGAAGCCUGAACCAGCCAAGCCGCGGUCAGGAUGAAGGCUUUCGGGUUGUAAACUGCUUUUGUACGGAACGAAAAGACUUCGUUUAAUACAGGAGGGGCAUGAAGGUACCGUAAGAAUAAGCACAGGCUAAAUAAGCU
This 482-nucleotide ribosomal RNA is filed under the name uncultured bacterium. RNAcentral describes it as "partial 16S ribosomal RNA". It matches the Rfam family "Bacterial small subunit ribosomal RNA", at positions 30 to 507 of the family's 1533-position model. The record is from RNAcentral.